This 26051-nucleotide long non-coding RNA is filed under the name Erythranthe guttata (spotted monkey flower). RNAcentral describes it as "long non-coding RNA (EGUT_LNC000958)". Lineage: Eukaryota; Viridiplantae; Streptophyta; Magnoliopsida; Lamiales; Phrymaceae. The record is from RNAcentral.
AGAUUGAUAAUGUUCACAGAGAUAGUGGCAACGACACUGUCAUCUUCUUUACGGAUCAUGUUCCCGCUCCCAAUUCUCAUCCCCCACCGACGCCUGGUGCAGAUGCAACUGUGCUUCUAAAUUUUUGUUCAUCCAUGGAUCCAGAUUCCCAAACUUCUGUGGAUGUAUAUCCUCCGCCUGAUGCUUGCUCGACGUCGAAUGCCACUAUGGUUGACGGUGUUGUCAUUACUGAAACUUCCGUGGAUGUAUGUCCCCCAGUCUGCUACUCCAUCGACCUCAAAUACUACUACAGUGAACGGUGCUGUCACUCUCUAGAAGCAGAGGAGGCUCAGGGAAAGGAAAGUCCCUUCUACUCCUUUCUCCAGAGCUAUGGAGUAAGUUAAUCCAUACUUCCACUCACUGCUAUUAGUGUAUAUUAUCAACUGGCAUGUUUAUGCAAUUCUGUUACAAAAAAAUACACUUAAUAACUUCAGUAAACAGGGUGAGAAUAUAUGAUUCAUGAUAGUCUCAAUAAAGUAUAGUUGUUUUAAUUUAUUCACUUAGUAUCUGAUAUAGGGCACAAUGUAAUGGAUUUAUGUUUCACUAGUGUUUGAAGAAAACAAAAUGAGUGAUGUCAAAAUACGAGGCUUAUUUUAUUUGUCUGAUGAAUAUAAAUCUUUCAAUUUAGUUUCUGUAGUUGCCUUUUUGGACUGCAGCAAUUACAUAUUUCAUCUUCAAUAAGCAACAUCUAACUGUUUAAUCUCAAGAGAAAAUGAUAUUAUCAUGAGUUUAGUUUUAUUACUUGAAGUAUGAUUGAAGGUUUCCUGGACUUGGAGCUGGUCUUGCUUGGGGACACUUCAGGAGUCUACAAAGAGGGUCUUGUUUGGUAUGCCUAACUCAGAAAACAACCAACAUGCUCUUUCCCCAUACUUGUGUGAGAGAAAUGCAGAACUUUUAGCUCUUGCAUUAUGCAUAAUGCGUGGAGCAGCUCUUAAAUUAGGUCAAAUGUUGAGCAUCCAGGAUGAAUCUCUCGUACUUGCUCCACUAUGUAACUGCAUAUUCAUUUAGAUUACUAGUUCUUGCAUGUUAUAUGAUUGUAUGCAUGCCCGAACAUUCUCCUUCUCAUUUAUGACAAAAGUAUCGCCCCAAUUAUUUUUCGAACAUAAUUGUUCUGGCAGUUUAUGGCUAUCCUUUGGUGCACACAUAUGGUGCAUCAGUUCUCUCAACUUGCCAUAUCUCCUUAUUCACUUGAUUUGACUUCAUUUAAAUUUUUACUAGAAUGAUGUUUUACAGUGUAACCAAAUAAAUAUAGAAGCUUGUUUGAACAAGAAGUCAUGUUGGGAUAAAGUUCUACUUUAGAAAAAAAAACUAGUGUUGAAUUAUCAUAUUUUGUGAAUCGUACUUGUAGAAUAGAGUUGCAAAAUGUUUACACUUCUAGAUUAGAAAAAAAGUGCUUUAUUAAUGCGCUGGUUGAUUUAGUUGUGGCAACUGCAAACAUUUUAAUGAUGAUGGUUUAUGUGCAUGGAUCACUUGACAAAAUUUUAUAUGUUAUGAGAUCUUUACAUUGUGGUUUUCUUAUGGGGUUGUGAGACUGAGAUUUUUUUUCUUAUAAGCAUGCAGAUGAGGGCAAUGUUUUUUCUUUUUAGAAGUUCAAACUUCCAUGACCACAUUCAAUCUUCGAAUUGUUUUAACCAACAUUUCCAUAUCCUUACAAACUAUAAUUUUAUGGUUUCUGAUUAACCGUAAUAACUCAUAUGCCAUUUCUGAUAUUAACAGCUAUAGACAUUGUCCGUCAGGGUGCUGAUCGGAUGCCAAGGAAUAAGCUCAAUCAGGUUUUGGAUGCUGAAUUUUGUUCCAACUCGUUAUCAAAUUUGACGAGUGUUGACUAUGAGCCAAUGGAUGCGGCAAGUAUAGGACUGGUGAUGAAGUACAGCGAUUUAAUUUAUGCUUAUAUUUAAUUCCCAUUGUGCGAUUUCAGUUGUGCAAUCAAUUCAUUCAAUAUUUCCCUAUAUUUGUUGUUAAUUAGCUAUAUCUGAACAUGGGUGAAUUGGAAAGAAAUAUGUGCAACUGAUCUGUAUAUAGUUUGAUAAGAAGUACUCGAGCUCAGUUUUAGCACAUCUUAGAUGACAGAUGAUGGUGUUAUUUGAUUACAAUAGUAAGUACCAAAACUGGAGGCAUUUCAUCAAAAUAUUUCACUAGAUCUUAUUCAUCUGCUGCUGUUGUGUUUCAUCUCUUGAAUCCUUCUUCUUCUAAAAUAACUUUAGGUCCAUCGUGCUGUCACGAAGGAAGAUUUGGAGGUUACAAUCAAAAUCCAGUAUCCAGGAAUUGCAGAUAGCAUUGAAAGUGACAUUGAUAAUGUUAAACUGCUAUUAACUUAUACAAACUUGUUACACAAAAAAAUGUACCUCGAUAGUGCAAUGAAGGUAGUGUUUUUGCGUUCCAGUAUUUUGCUUACUUUUAUGAAGAUUUAUGAUGUAUAUUACAAUAGAUAAUUCUUGGGCCUCAUUACGAGUAAGCAUGUGUCUUCUUGUAUUAAAAUUUGUGUUAUGCCUGCAACACUAUGAGGACCCUAGUUUAACAAGCUCGAGUAUGUUAUUUUCCUUCAAUAAUUGGUGUUGUUUGCUUUGUUGCAGCGUUACUUGUCUCAGUGAUUUGAUUGUUGGUUUGCUUACUCUUUCUUGUUUUUGUUGGCUCGAUCAUGCUUCUGGAACAGAUACGCUUGAAUCAACUUAGAUAAAACUACCACUUUAUGUCAUUGGAUAUCUAAUUUGGCUUAAACUACUAAAAUUUGCAUUUUGAUGCCCCACGAAAUUCCUGUGUUGUAAAAUCUUUAGCUAGGAGAGUCUCUCAAUUUGUUAGUUUUCUGUAGAAUGUUAAAAAAAAAAAAGGUAUUGGAAUAAAAGAGAGGUAUUGGUAAAAAAAUAUUUAUUGUCAGAAAAGAGAAAAAACAAAGAGAAGGUAGUGGAGACUUUAAUUGAGUCAUGACUAGAUACCCACAAUGCUGGAAUUUGUGAUUUGUUGCAAGUUCACUAGAUGUGACUGUUCCAGUUUUUUGCGACAAAGAUGUUGGUUGCAAAUAUAUAAUAAUAUGAAAUGCAAACUAAAAUAAUGGCUUUGGUUUGUCUGUUGAUCCUAGACCUUAAGUUACCUUGUGACAUGAACUUAUGGAAGUAUACCAAGUGAAAUAGUACAGGUAGUUCAGCUUUGGUUGAGGAAUCAAUGCUUGAAUUUACUGGAAUUUUAUUUGCAUUGGGUGCAUGUUGUAUGUGCUGAUAUUUAUUAUUAACAUGUGGUCGUAUGUGUCUCCAGAUGGAACCUGUAUUUGUGCUAAUACUCAUUGUUAGAAUGGAAAAGGUGAAAAAAAAACUAGAAUUCAAACAACAGCCAAAAACAAUUUUAUUAUAGCAGAGUUACAAUAUCGAAUGAACCCACUCUCUGAUAUAGAGAUGGGAAAAGACUACUAAAGAAAGGCUUCUUCCAUAAGACAUACAUACUAACAUAGAUAAACAAAAAUUACCCAAUAUAAUAGGUUUUCAGUCUAAGACAAUUUCCAAAAUAUUGUCAGCUGUAACUUUGAGGUUACAUGAGUUGUUAUGAAGUAUUGUUGCUUCAAUAAAUAAUAGGGUAAAAUUACAAACACCCCCCCUAGGUAUGGUCAAUUUACAAAAAAACCCCUCUUGUUUGGAUAGUUACAUCUACCCCCCUCAACUAUGAUUUUUUCAUACACCUCCACCCUUAUGGUGUCAAAUUCAACAUAAUCAUCUUAAUUUCGUGGAAUGUGCUCUAAGUUGUACUCGUGUUGUGGAAAAAUACAGUUUGUGAUGCACCACAAUCUGAUAUUUACAAGCCAAAAAACACAUAUUAUGAUCAUCUUGCUUCCAAAAUGUAGAGAUCGAAUGGGAUAAAACGGGUACAAAAGUGAUAAUAUUCCAUAUAAUCUCGAAGAUUCCACCAAAUUUGAGGAGAUGGGGUGGUUAUAAUUAUCCAAACAAGAGGGGGGUUUUCGUAAUUUGACCAUACAUCAGGGGGUGGUUGUAAUUUACCCUAAAUAAUAUUGUAAGACCAUGUAGUAGGUCCAGAAAGUAAUAAUCUAAAGAAGGUAAAGAGUUAUGUCAAGAGUUGUGUCCCAAAAUAGUUGGAAUAAACCUCGCAAUACUUGUCUUCACAGUGGUAUGCUUAUCAAUCAAUCAUGAGUCGGAAGCUUUGAUCUCAUUUCAAAUAUUUUGUCUUCUGGCUUCUUCAAAUUAUGAUAUAAAUUAUUUCUUAGUGGGUCUGAAGAUGUCUCUCAAGCCUUAAACUUUAUGCACCUUUCUGACUGCAACUUUUACGACCUGACCUAAAAAUCAGAAAGGAUUUCGGAGUCUCCUGACUAAUACAAAGGGCUUUUAUGUUCGAUUUGUGUUGUAUAAUAUAUCUAGUAAAGGAGUCAUAUCAACAUAAUUGGUCCGUGGUAUUUUCUUCACUAUAUCUUGUUUUUCUUUUCCUACAAUAAUAUUAGAAUAAUAAGUAAAAAUAAUUUGGCUGUAAUAGAAAAAGGGAUAAUAGGCUCCAUGCCCUUACCAUGUGUUUCUACCUUAAAUUUAGUAUGCUACAAUUGAACAUGUAACACCCCACGUAUCCAAAACCCUAACACUCGAAUUUACUAUUCCUAAUUCGAGUAUCCUUAGGUGGUAUUAUUAUGUAAUAUUAAUUAUAUGAUCUACGUGAGUCUAAUUGCGCGUUUUACGUGAAUAAUUACAUGCAUUAUUUAAUUAUUCGGAAUAAGGUGAUUACAUGAUAUUUAUUUGUGAGUAGAUAUGUAUAUGUGAUUUAUGCGAUUUAAAUUUCCGUAAAUUAAAAUACUAGCAAAUUACGUAACUUGUGUCUUAUUUAGUUGGUAGAUUAUUGUUAUACUAAAGUGUAUUUAUAUAUAUAUACAUACAUAUACUACAUGCAUAUACUACAUGCAUACAUGAUUACAUGCGUACGUGUAUAUACAUAUAUGUGUAUACACCAUUAUACAUGUGUGGCUUGCGUAGUGAGGGGAUAUUGUUUAUUUAUAUAUAUGUAUGUGUGUGACUGUGUAUAUAUGUCUGCAAGUUGUGUUUAUUUUAAAUAAAUAAAUUAGUACCUUUCCACUUGGCAAAUUGCCAUCAUUUUCCCUAAUCCUACACACAAUAGAUGAUUAGUAAGAUGAAGAAACACUCUUCAUUCUUCUCCUCCCAACACAUAAACCCCCUAUUUUUCUUCUCCUCCCCUCUCCACCGAAGCCACCACCUCCACCGUCGGCCUCCUCUUCUUCCACCUCAAACUCCAAAUUUUCAAGAAAAUCAAAAAUAGAAAUGAAGGUCCCCUAUUUAACCCUUGCUUUAGACUACACCAAAACAACCAUCAAGAAUUCUUUCCUACUCACGGAAGAUAACAAUACAUCCCUCUUAGAAGCUCACACCAUCUCCUUCACAAUCAAAUUAAGUGGCUUGGUUAGAUUUCGGUGUUUGAAAGCAUUCCCUCCUUCGGUUGUUUUUUUUUCUUCGAUUUUAAGGUAAGAAAUUCCGGUUUCUUGCUGCAAUUAGGAGGUAUCAAUAGUAUACAAAGAGUUUUCAAAAUUUCUUAAAAGACUUGGAGUGAUUUCGAAAAAAAUUAGGGGCUUUUUGGGAAAAAAAUGGAGAAGAUGUGUUGACUGUUGAUUUCUUGUUCUUGCAUGCAUCAUUUAUGUUGGUAGUUGGUAGAUACAAUUUUUAUUGGCCAAAAUCAUUGAAAAUUUCGGAUUUCAAAAAGUGGUUGCAAGAAAAAUGAAAUUUUGAACUUUUAUGGGGUUGCAUGUGUAGAUCGAAAGAUUUUUUGGGUCAAAUCUGUAAUUUUCUAGAAGUCAGUCCUAAAUGUGUUUUCAAAUCUGUUUUUCAGCAUUUAUUCAGUAAAAUUUUCGGAUUUAAAGAGGCUUUGCAAGAAAAAAUGAUUUUCGAACUUCUAGUGGUCUUGCAUGUAUAGAUCUAGAGAUUUCGGGGUAAAAUAUGUAAUUUUCAAAAUUUUUGCAUCAAAUAACUUUUAACUUUGUUUUCUGCAAUUAUUGAAUAAAAAUUUCUGAGGGUCAGGGGUUUUUCAUGAAAAAGUGGAUUUUGAACUUCUAGUGUGGUUGCAUGUGUAAAUCUUGUAACUUUGGGGUUAAAACUGUAAUUUUUGAAAACACUGUCAUUUCUAAAAUUUGAAAUAUGUUUUCCAGCAAAUAUUAAAUGGGAAAAUAGUUUUAUGUACAAAGGUUCCAAAAUAAUUAAGUUAUAUUAGAGUUUUUGAUUUUUACAAGAAAAAGGGGAUGUUUCUAGUUUUUAAUUCCAAGAAAAUUCGAAACUAUAUGAAAAUCUAAAUUAAUUUUGGAAACUAAAACUUUGAUCAGUUAGAAGCACUAGGAUUUUUAAUUUGGGAAUUUUUGGAAUGGGUUUAUUAUUAUUUGGAAAGUUGGACAUUUUGCAUGCCAUUUAUUAUGUUUUGUGCUUUAAUUUCCAUGUCUUUGAAUAAAUGAUUAUGAGUAAUGAAACUUGAGAUGUUGAACCUAAAUUACUGCAUGGAUGUGUUAAUGGCUACUAGAAUUUAUUUGGAAUGAAUUAUUACCUAGAAGUGGUAAUAAGUUCAUUAAAAGAAAGAUAAAGAUGACCCUUGCUUUUCAAGCAUGAUUUGAUUAUUAAAUGUGAUGUUUUAAAUGUGUUGGUUGCAUGUGUGUGUGUGCGCUGAAUGUGUAUGUGUGUGUGGUUGUGUGUAUUUAAUUGUGUGAAUUUGGGGAGUUUUCCCAAAUUAUAAAUGUGUGGUAAGUUGUGAUAUUUGUGUGGUUUUGUGGCACUUGAUUGAUAUUUGUGAUAUUAUGUGAGGAUUAUGUAAUUGUUGUAAGUAUGAUUUUGAAAAUGGUGCAUUUCACGUUUUUUUUUAUUUGAAAGAUUAAUAGAAUACCGGAUAAUAAACAACUCGGAUAUAGAGGGCCGGUAUCCAACUAGGAUGAAAUGUUGUGGUUUGAUUCCACUUAGUGAAAAUUGGCUCGUAAUCGGUUUAUUAUUCAUGUACAUAAAUUAAUCUUUCACGGACCCGAUAAAACUUUAAAGUUGCAGUCAGAAAGGUGCAUAAAGUUUAAGGCUUGAGACAUCUUCAAACCGAGACAAAAUAUUUGAAAUGAGAUCAAAGCUUCCGACUCAUGAUUGAUUGCUAACCAUACAACCGUGAAAGACAAGUAUUGCGAGGUUUAUUCCAACUAUUUUGGGACACAACUCUUGACAUAAUUCUUUACAUUAUUCAGAUUAAUUACUUUCUAGACCUACUACAUGGCCUUACAAUAUUAUUUAUUGAUGCAACAAUACUUCAUAACAGUUCAUGUAACUUCAAGUUACAGCUGAUAAUAUUUUUGAAAUUAUCAUAGACUCGAAACCUAUUAUAUUGGGUAAUUUAUGUUAUCUACGUAAGUAGAUUUCUGCAUGUCUUAUGGAAGAAGCCUUUCUUUAGUAGUUUUUACGACCUGGCCUAAAAAUCAGAAAAGCUUUCGGAGUCUCCUGACUAAUAGAAACGGCUUUUAUGUUCCAUUUGUGUUGUAUAAUAUAUCUAGUUAAAGAUUCAUAUCUACAGAAUUGGUCCCUCGUAUUUGCUUCACUAUAUCUUGUUUCUCUUUUCCUACAAUAAUAUUAGAAUAAUAAAUAAAAAUAAUUUGGUUGUAAUCGAAAAAGGGAUAAUAGGCUCCAUGCCCUUACCAUGUGUUUCUACCUUAAAUUUAGUAUGCUAGUUUGGAAAUAAACUUUAUUUGUUGUUUUUGAAAGAAAAUGCAGGGGAAAGUAAGUACAAUGUAUAAAUUGGAAAAGUUAAGGUUAUUCAUGCAUAUAGUACGCUUAGUUCAUCAAGUAAGUACAAUGUAUAAACUCGUAAAGUUUGGGUUAUUUAUGGAUAUAUUACACUAUGUUCAUCAAGUAAGUACAAUGUAUAAACUGGUAAAGUUAGGGUUAUUCGUGAAUAGUACGCUUUGGUUGGCCGGGGAGAGUGGGAGGGUAGUGGGGGGGGGGGGUGCUGGUUGGUGAGCUUGGGCCGGAGAGAUAGGGGCUGGUUGGUGGGCUUGGGCCGGAGAGAGGUGGGGGAUUGGUUGGUGGGCUUGGGCCGGAGAGAGGGGAGCUGGUUGGUGGGUUUGGGCCGGAGAGAGAGGGGCGGGUUGGUGGGCUUGGGGCCAGAGAGAGAGUGUUGUGCUGGUUGGUGGGCUUGAGCCGAAGAGAGAGAGAGUGGCUGGUUGGUGGGCUUGCCCGGAGAAAGAUGGGACUAGUUGUUGAGCUUGGGCUGAGAUAGAUGGGUUGGUUGGUGGCAUGGGCUCGGAGAGAGAUAGGGGAUUAGUUGGUGGGCUUGGGCCAGAGAAAGGGGGCUGUUUGGUGGGCUUGGGCCAGAGAGAGGGGGUGGUUGGUUGGCUUGAGCCGAAGAGAGAGAAGGGUGCUGGUUGGUGGGCCUGGAGAGAUAGGGGCCUGGUUGUUGGGCUUGGACCGAAGAGAUAGGGGCUGGUUGGUGGACUUGGGCCGAAGAGAGAAAAAAGGGGUUGGUUGAUAGGCUUGGGCCGGUUAUAGUGAGGGGGGUUGAUUGGUGAGCUUGGGCUGGGGAGAGAAAUGUUGAAAUAGUGGACUUUUGGAGUAUGGGCUUGGCCAAUUUAGCCCAAAUCACAAAUCAAAUGAAAAAUCAAAAUUUCAUAGAAGAUCUAAUAUGAUGAAUAAUAACAUAUUAUUUAACUAACUAAUAAAAAAAAAAUAAUCAAAUCAUCUGUAUAUAACGGAAGAAGCCCUCAAUUCUCGAAUAAUUUAGGAAUGGAAUUAGGUUUGUGAUAUUUUGUAUUGGUAAUAGUCUGUGUUAGGAAUAUUAGAAAGUCUUGGGCACAACAUUACCAACGCAGCGGCAAGACAUAAGCUGGUUCCGUUUGCAUUGUAUGUGGACAAAGAAUGGACACAUUACGUGAUUAACUCAUACAAACAGAGUAGGGUAUUCCGUAGUUACAUCCCAUUAGAAUAGUUGUGGGCUGAUCGAUUGAAUUUUUUGGGGUAGCUAUGUUUGACUCAUACAUCGAUGGUAUCUUUAAGGGACAUUGCGAGAGUGUUGGAUAGGUUAUCUCUGGUGGCUAAGGAGGGCAUCAGCCGCUCCAACACCGUUCCAUUGGAAACCGCAAUCAAGGCCGUCGUCCUCCCCAUCUCCGACGUUGCCGGUGUCACCAAAGGAAAGCUCCGUCAGAUUAAUAAUGUUUACAAAGAUAUUGUGAUCGGCAUUGUCAUCUUCUUUAAGGAUCAUGUCCCCGCUCCCAAUUCUCAUCCCCCACCGACGUCUGGUGCAGGUGAAACUGAGCUUCUAAAAAUUGGUUCUUCCAUGGAUCCUUAUUCCCAAACAUUGGUAGAUGUAUAUCCCCGCCUGGUGCUCUCUCGACAUUGAAUGCCACUAUAGUUGAAGGUGCUGUUAUUCCAAAAACUUCCGUGGAUGUAUGUCCCUAAUCUGCUGCUCCAUCGACCUCAAAUACUACUGCAACGAAUGGUGUUUUCACUCCCUUGAAGCAGAGAAGGCUCAAGGAAACGAAAGUACCUCAUAGUCAUUUCUCCAGAGCCAUGAGGUAAGUUAAUACAUACUUCUACUCACUGCUAUUAGUGAUUAUAAUCAACUGGCAUGUUUAUGCAAUUCUGUUGCAAAAGGUACACUUAAUUAGAAUAUACCAUUCAUGAUAGUCUCAAUGAAGUAUAGUUGUUGUAACUUAUUCACUUAGUAUCUGAUAUGUUGUUGUAGGGCACAAUGUAAUGGAUUUAUGUUUUACGAGUGUUUGAAGAAAACAAAAUGAGUGAUGUCAAAAUACGAGGCUUAUUUUAUUUGUGAGAUGAAUAUCAAUCUUUCAAUGUAGUUUAUGUAGGUGCCUUUAUGGAGUGUAGCAAUUACCUAAUUUAACUCGUCAUUUCGAUUGUUAUGACCUAUGUUUUCACUAGUGCAGCUCACUUAAUGAUUGGAUUCCGUUUUAGUAUUGUAGAUUGUAUUCUCAAACUUAUGCUUUUAUGUUUAAUAAGCUAGAGCUAACUUUUGAAUCUCAAGAGAAAAUGAUAUUAGCAUGAGUUUAGUUUUAUUAUUUGAAGUAUGAUUGAAGGUUUGCUGGACUUUGAGCUGGUCUUGCUCGGGGGACACUUCAGGAGUCUACAAAGAGGGCCUUGAUUGGUACUUCUUACUCAGAAAACAACCCACAUGCCCUUUCCCUAUACUUGUCUGAGAGAAAUGCAUAACGUUUAACUCUUGCAUUAUGCAUAAUGCGUGGAGCCGCUCUCAAAUUAGGCCAAAUGUUGAGCAUCCAGGAUGAAUCUGUAGUACCUACUAUAGUAUGUAACUGCAUAUUCAUUGAGAUUAUGAGUUCUUCCAUGUUAUAUGAAUGUAUGCAUGCCCGAACAUUCUCUUUCUCAUUUCUUAUGAUAAAAGUAUGGCCCUAAUUAUUUACCGAAGAUAAUUGUUCUGGCAGUUUAUGGCUAUACUUUGUUGCACAUACAUGGUGCAUCAUUUCUCUCCUCUUGCCAGAUCUCCUUCUUAACUUGACUUGAAUUCAUUUAAAUUUUUACUAGAAUGAUGUUUUACAAUGUAACCAAGUAAAUAUAGAAGCUUGUUCAAACAAGAAGUCAUACUUGGUACAAUUUUACAUUAGAAAAAAGAACUAGUGUUGAAUGAUCGUAUUUUGUGAAUCGUACUUGAAGAAUAGAGUUGCUAGAUGUUUAAAGUUCUAGAUUAGAAAAAAAGGCUUUAUUUAUGGGCUGGUUGAUUUUGUAGUUGCAACUGGCAACAUUUUAAUUAUGAUGGUUUAUGUGCAUGGAUCACUUGAUAAAAUUACACAUGUCAGAUAUCUUUAAGUUUUGGUUUUCUUAUGGGAUUGUGAGAGUGAUAUUUUUUUUUCUGAUGAUGAUAUUUAAUUAGAGUGCCAACCAUAUUGCCGAUGAAGAAGAGCAAAUGAUAGGCAUGUAGAUAAGGGCAAUGUUUUUUUUGUUUUUUUAGAAGUUCAAACUUCCAUCACCACAUUCAAUCUUUGAAUUUUUUUAACCAACCUUUCCAUAUCCAUACAAACUAUAAUUUUAUGGUUUCUGAUUAACCGUGAUAUCUCAUAUGCCAUUUCAAAUAUUAGGAGCUUUAGAUAUUGUCCGUCAGGUGCAGAUCAGAUCCCAAAGAAUCAGCUCAAUCAAGUUUUGGAUUCUGAAUUGGGUUCCAACUGGUCAUCAAAUAUGACUAGUUUUGACUAUGAGCCAAUGGCAGCAGCAAGUUUAGGACAACGGGCAAUGAAGUUCAGCGAUGUAAUUUAUGCUUAUAUUUGAUUCCCGUAGUGUGAUUUCAGUUGUGCAAUCACUUAAUUCAAUAUUUCCCUAUUCUUGAUGUUAAUUAGCUAUAUAUAAACAUGGCUAAAUUGGAGAGAAAUAUUGUGCAAUGGAUCUGGAUAUUGUUUGAUAAGAAGUACUCAAGCUUAGGUUUAGCACAAAUUAGAUGACAUAUGGUGUCAUUUGAUUGCAAUAGAAAAUACCAAAACCGGAGGCAUUUCUUUGAGUUUCACACAUAUCUGAACUCAUUGUCUUUUCAGGCAAAAUAUAUAUCCGUAUUUGUUCAUCUGUGCAUCUUAUUAUUCAUCAAAAGGUUUCGCUGGAUCUAAUUGAUCUGCAGUUGUCGUGUUUCAUCUCCCGAAUCCUGAUUCUUCUAAAAUAACAUUAGGUCCAUCGUGUUGUCACGACGGAAGGUUUGGAGGUUGCAAUCAAAAUUCAGUAUCCAGGAGUUGCAGAUAGCAUUGAUAAUGUUAAACUGCUAUUAACCUAUACAUACUUGUUACAAGAAAAAAUGUAACUGGACAAUGCAAUGAAGGUAGAAUUUUUACGUUCCAGUAUUUUGCUUACUUUUAUGAAGAUAUUUGAUGUAUAUUACAAUAGAUAAUUCUUGGGCCUCAUUAAUAGUAAGCAUGUGUCUUCUUGUAUUAAAAUUUGUGUUGUACCUGCAACAUUAUGAGGACCUUGGUUUAACAAGCUCGAGUUUGUUCUUUUCCUUCAAUAAUUGGUGUUGUUUGCUUUGUUGCAGCCUUACUUGUCUCGGUGAUCUGAAUUUUUGUUUGCUUAACUCUUUCAUGUUUUUGUUGGCUCGAUCAUGCUUCUGGAAUUGAUAUGCUUGUAUCAGCUUAGAUAAAACUGCCACUUCUAUGUUAUUGGAUAUCUACUUUAGCUUACACUACUAAAAUUUGCAUUUUGAUGCCCACGAAGAUCCUGUGUUGUAAAAUCUUUAGCCAGGAGAUUCUCUCAGUUUCUAAGUAAUCUGUAAAAAUGUUAAAAAAAAAAAGGUAUUAGAAUAAAGGAGAAGGUAUUGAAAAAAAAAAAAUUUAUUGUCCGAUAAAAAAGAGAAAAAAGAAAGAGAAGGUAUUGAAGACUUUAAUUGAGUCAUGACUACAUACCCACAAUGCCGGAAUUUGUGAUAUGUUGCAAGUUCACUGGAUGUGACAGUUCCAGUUUUUGGUAAGUUGUUGGUUGUAAAUAUAUAAUAAUAUGAAAUGCUAAAUAAAAUAAUGGUUUUGGUUUGUCUGUUGAUCCUAGACCUUAAGUUACCUUGUCACAUGCACUUAUGGAAGUAUACCAAGUGAAAUAGUAUAGUUAAUUCAGCUGUGGUUGAGGAAUCAAUGCUUGAAUUUGCAGGAAUUUUAUUUGCAUUGGGUACAUGUUGUAUGUGCUGAUAUAUACUAUUAACAUGUGGUCGUAUGUGUCUCCUGAUAUAAUCUGUAUUUGUGCUAAUACUCAUUGUUAGAAUGGAAAAAAUGAAAAUAAACUAGGAUUCAAACGGCAGCGAAAAACAGUUUUACUGUAGCAAAGUUGCAAUAUCGAAUGAACCCACUCUCUGAUAUAGAGAUGGGAAAGACUACUAAAGAAAGGCUUCUUCCAUAAGACAUGCUGUAAUCUACUAACGUAGAUAACAUAAAUUACCCAAUGUAAUAGGGUUCUAGUCAAUGACAAUUUUGAAAAUAUUGUCAGCUGUAACUUGAGGUUACAUGAACUGUUAUGAAUUAUUGUUGCAUCAAUAAAUAAUAUUGUAAGACCGUGUAGUAGGUCUAGAAAUUAAUUCAUAUAAAGAAGGUAAAUAAUUCUGUCAAGAGUUGUGUUCCAAAAUAGUUGGAAUAAACCUCGCAAUACUUGUCUUUCACGGUUGUAUACCUAGGAAUCAAUCAUGAUUUGGAAGCUUUGAUCUCAUUUCAAACAUUUUGUCUUUUGGCUUCUUCUAAUUAUGAUAUAAUUAUUUCUUAGUGGGUCUCAAGUUCUCAAGCCAUAAACUUUAUGCACCUUUCUGACUGCAACUUUUAUGACCUGACCUGUGAAAAUUCAUUCUAUAUUUUUUUACAGUUACACAAAAAUGGAGAUACACCAGAUCUGUGAUGGCAUGUGUGAUUGUGACACCUUCGUGACUUCUUACUCAGGUUGCGAAAGAGGAACUUUCUCGUGAAUGUGACUAUGAAUUGUAGGCCAAAUAUCAGAAAAGGUUUCGGAGUCUCCUGACUAAUACAAAGGUCUUUUAAGUUCCAUUUGUGUUGUAUAAUAUAUCUAGUAAAAGAGUCCUAUCUACUGAAUUGGUCCCGGGUAUUUGCUUCACUAUACAUUAUUUUUCUUUUACUACAAUAAUAUUAGAAUAAUAAGUAAUCAGGUUAUUCAUGCAUAUAGUACGCUUAGUUCAUCCAGUAAGUACGACGUAUAGACUAUUCAUCAAGUAAGUACAAUGUAUAAUGGUAAAGUUCGGGUUAUUUAUGGAUAUAGUACGCUAUGUUCAUCAAGUAAGUACAAUGUAUAAACUGGUAAAGUUAGGGUUAUUCGUGAAUAGUACGCUUUUGUUGGCCAGAGAGAGGGAGGAAGGGUGCUGGUUGGUGGGAUUGGGCGGGAGAGAGGGGUAGGCUGGUUUGUGUGCUUGGGCAGGAGAGAUAGGGGUUGGUUGGUGGUCUUGGGCCGAAGAGAGAUGGGGGAUUGGUUGGUGGGCUUGGGCCGGAGAGAGAGGGGUUGGUUGGUGGGCUUGGGCCGGAGAGAGAGGGGGUGGGUUGGUGGGCUUGUGGCCGAAGAGAGAGUGGGGAGCUGGUUGGUGGGCUUGAGCUGAAGAGAGAGAGGGGGCCGGUUGGUGGGCUUGGGUCGGAGAAAGAUGGGGCUAGUUGGUGAGCUUGGGCUGAGAUAUAGGGGUUGGUUGGUGGGCAUGGACUCGAAGAGAGAUGGGGGAUUGGUUGAUGGGCUUGGGCCGGAGAGAGGGUGCUGUUUGGUGGGCUUGGGCUUGAGAGAGCGGGGUGGUUGGUGGGCUUGAGCCGAAGAGAGAGAAGGGGGCCUGUUGGUGGGCCUAGAGUGAUAGGGGCUGGUUCUUGGGCUUGGAACGAAGAGAUAUGGGGUGGGUUGGUGGAAUUGGGCCGAAGAGAGAAAAUGAGGUUGGUUGAUGGGCUGGGGCCGGUGAUAGAGAGGGGGGUUGAUUGGUGGGUUUGGGCUGGGGAGAGAGAUGUUGAGAUAGUGGACUUUUGGAGUUUGGUCUUGGCCAAUUUAGCCCAAAUCACAAAUCAAAUGAAAAACCAGAAUUUAAUAGAAGAUCUAUAAUGAUGAAUAAUGACAUAGUAACUAACUAACUAAUAAAAAAAAAUCUAAUCAAAUCUUCCGUAUAUAACGGAAAAAGCUCUCAAUACUCGAAUAAUUUAGGAAUCGAAUUAGGUUUGUGAUCUUUUGUAUUGGUAAUAAUCUGUGUUUGGAAUAUUAGAAAGUCUUGGGCACAACAUUGCCAACGCAGCGGCAAGACAUAAGCUGGUUCUGUUUGCAUUGUAUGAAGACAAAGAAUGGACACGUUACGUGAUUAAUUCAUACAAACAGAGUAGAGUAUUUCGGAGAUCCAUCCCAUUAGAAUAGUUGUGGGCUGAUUGAUUGAAUUUUUUGGGGUAGCUAUGUUUGACUCAGACAUCGAUGGUAUCUUUAAGGGACAUUGCGAGAGUGUUGGAUAGGUUAUCUCUGGUGGCUAAGGAGGGCAUCAGCCGCUCCAACACCUUUCCAUUAGAAACCGCAAUCAAGGCCGUCGUCCUCCCCAUCUCCGACGUUGCCGGUGUCACCAAAGGAAAGCUCCGUUAGAUUGAUAAUGUUCACAGAGAUACUGUCACCGACAAGGUCAUUUUCUUUAAGGAUCAUGUUUGACAUAUACAUCGAUAGUAUAAUAAAUUAUAUUUCUAGUUGCAAAAAAACCUCUUAUUGCGGCCAACUCAUAAACCAUCUAUCCCUUCCAUUCUUUUAAGCGGCGGCUCCAUCUUAACGAGGCAGCUCUCUGCAAUUUUUUUUUUCUUUCACUCUUCAAUUUUUUUCAUCCGCCACUGCAAAAUAUUAUUAUAAUUGUCACAGAACUUGCACAUCUCUCAAACCUCAUUCCAUAAAUAAAAUUCAGGUAUGUACACAUUUUUUUGUUUUUGGCGUUUUGUUUUGAAACCGGGUUUUACCGGGUUUUAUCCAGUUUUGCGCGAGUUUGUCACCGGUUUUGAGUGGUUCGACCAGGCCCUUUCCGGUUCCGAGCAGAUCGACUCGGGUUUUCAUUUUUCACGGUUUUGGCUGUUUAACCGGACGGGAUUAGCUACGGGUGCAGUUGAACCGAUCGGACCGGCCGGUCCGAUCCGCUUACAACAUUGCUUUGUAUUGGUAAUAAUCUAUGUUUGGAAUAUUAGAAAGUCUUGGGCACAACAUUUCCAACGCAGCGGCAAGAGACAAGCUGGUUCUGUUUGUGUUGUAUGAGGACAAAGAAUGGACAUGUUCAUGAUUAACUCAUACAAACAUAGUAGGGUAUUCCGGAGUUCCAUCCCAUUUUGAAUUUUUUUUGGAGCUGAUCGAUUGAAAUUUCAUUGAAUUAGGGUUAGCUAAGUUUGACAUAGACAUCGAUGGUAUCUUUAAGGGACAUUGCGAGAGUGUUGGAUGGUUUAUCUCUGGUGGCUAAGGAGGGCAUCAGCCGCUUCAACAUCAUUCCAUUGGAAACCGCAAUCAAGGUUUGUCGUCCUCUCCGUCGGCGACGUUGCCGGACUCACUAAAGGAAAGCUCGGUCAGAUUGAUAAUGUUCACAGAGGUAUUGGCAACGACAUUGUCAUCUUCUUUAAGAAUCAUGUUCCCGCUCCCAAUUCUCAUACCCCAUCGACGCUUGGUGCAGAUGCAACUGUGCUUCUAAAUAUUUGGUCUUCCAUGGAUCCAGAUUCCCAAACUUCCGUGGAUGUUGAGAUAGUGGACUUUUGGAGUUUGGUCUUGGCCAAUUUAGCCCAAAUCACAAAUCAAAUGAAAAACCAGAAUUUAAUAGAAGAUCUAUAAUGAUGAAUAAUAACAUAUUAACUAACUAACUAAUAAAAACAAAUCUAAUCAAAUCUUCCGUAUAUAACGGAAAAAGCUCUCAAUACUCGAAUAAUUUAGGAAUCGAAUCAGGUUUGUGAUCUUUUGUAUUGGUAAUAAUCUGUGUUUGGAAUAUUAGAAAGUCUUGGGCACAACAUUGCCAACGCAGCGGCAAGACAUAAGCUGGUUCUGUUUGCAUUGUAUGAAGACAAACAAUGGACACGUUACGUGAUUAAUUCAUACAAACAGAGUAGAGUAUUUCGGAGAUCCAUCCCAUUAGAAUAGAUGUGGGCUGAUUGAUUGAAUUUUUUGGGGUAGCUAUGUUUGACUCAGACAUCGAUGGUAUCUUUAAGGGACAUUGCGAGAGUGUUGGAUAGGUUAUCUCUGGUGGCUAAGGAGGGCAUCAGCCGCUCCAACACCUUUCCAUUAGAAACCGCAAUCAAGGCCGUCGUCCUCCCCAUCUCCGACGUUGCCGGUGUCACCAAAGGAAAGCUCCGUUAGAUUGAUAAUGUUCGCAGAGAUACUGUCACCGACAAGGUCAUUUUCUUUAAGGAUCAUGUUUGACAUAUACAUCGAUAGUAUAAUAAAUUAUAUUUCUAGUUGCAAAAAAACCUCUUAUUGCGGCCAACUCAUAAACCAUCUAUCCCUUCCAUUCUUUUAAGCGGCGGCUCCAUCUUAACGAGGCAGCUCUCUGCAAUUUUUUUUUUCUUUCACUCUUCAAUUUUUUUCAUCCGCCACUGCAAAAUAUUAUUAUAAUUGUCACAGAACUUGCACAUCUCUCAAACCUCAUUCCAUAAAUAAAAUUCAGGUAUGUACACAUUUUUUGUUUUUGGCGUUUUGUUUUGAAACCGGGUUUUACCGGGUUUUAUCCAGUUUUGCGCGAGUUUUUCACCGGUUUUGAGUGGUUCGACCAGGCCCUUUCCGGUUCCGAGCAGAUCGACUCGGGUUUUCAUUUUUCACGGUUUUGGCUGUUUAACCGGACGGGAUUAGCUACGGGUGCAGUUGAACCGAUCGGACCGGCCGGUCCGAUCCGCUUACAACAUUGCUUUGUAUUGGUAAUAAUCUAUGUUUGGAAUAUUAGAAAGUCUUGGGCACAACAUUUCCAACGCAGCGGCAAGAGACAAGCUGGUUCUGUUUGUGUUGUAUGAGGACAAAGAAUGGACAUGUUCAUGAUUAACUCAUACAAACAUAGUAGGGUAUUCCGGAGUUCCAUCCCAUUUUGAAUUUUUUUUGGAGCUGAUCGAUUGAAAUUUCAAUGAAUUAGGGUUAGCUAAGUUUGACAUAGACAUCGAUGGUAUCUUUAAGGGACAUUGCGAGAGUGUUGGAUGGUUUAUCUCUGGUGGCUAAGGAGGGCAUCAGCCGCUUCAACAUCAUUCCAUUGGAAACCGCAAUCAAGGUUUGUCGUCCUCUCCGUCGGCGACGUUGCCGGACUCACUAAAGGAAAGCUCGGUCAGAUUGAUAAUGUUCACAGAGGUAUUGGCAACGACAUUGUCAUCUUCUUUAAGAAUCAUGUUCCCGCUCCCAAUUCUCAUACCCCAUCGACGCUUGGUGCAGAUGCAACUGUGCUUCUAAAUAUUUGGUCUUCCAUGGAUCCAGAUUCCCAAACUUCCGUGGAUGUUGAGAUAGUGGACUUUUGGAGUUUGGUCUUGGCCAAUUUAGCCCAAAUCACAAAUCAAAUGAAAAACCAGAAUUUAAUAGAAGAUCUAUAAUGAUGAAUAAUAACAUAUUAACUAUCUAACUAAUAAAAACAAAUCUAAUCAAAUCUUCCGUAUAUAACGGAAAAAGCUCUCAAUACUCGAAUAAUUUAGGAAUCGAAUCAGGUUUGUGAUCUUUUGUAUUGGUAAUAAUCUGUGUUUGGAAUAUUAGAAAGUCUUGGGCACAACAUUGCCAACGCAACGGCAAGACAUAAGCUGGUUCUGUUUGCAUUGUAUGAAGACAAAGAAUGGACACGUUACGUGAUUAAUUCAUACAAACAGAGUAGAGUAUUUCGGAGAUCCAUCCCAUUAGAAUAGAUGUGGGCUGAUUGAUUGAAUUUUUUGGGGUAGCUAUGUUUGACUCAGACAUCGAUGGUAUCUUUAAGGGACAUUGCGAGAGUGUUGGAUAGGUUAUCUCUGGUGGCUAAGGAGGGCAUCAGCCGCUCCAACACCUUUCCAUUAGAAACCGCAAUCAAGGCCGUCGUCCUCCCCAUCUCCGACGUUGCCGGUGUCACCAAAGGAAAGCUCCGUUAGAUUGAUAAUGUUCACAGAGAUACUGUCACCGACAAGGUCAUUUUCUUUAAGGAUCAUGUUUGACAUAUACAUCGAUAGUAUAAUAAAUUAUAUUUCUAGUUGCAAAAAAACCUCUUAUUGCGGCCAACUCAUAAACCAUCUAUCCCUUCCAUUCUUUUAAGCGGCGGCUCCAUCUUAACGAGGCAGCUCUCUGCAAUUUUUUUUUUCUUUCACUCUUCAAUUUUUUUCAUCCGCCACUGCAAAAUAUUAUUAUAAUUGUCACAGAACUUGCACAUCUCUCAAACCUCAUUCCAUAAAUAAAAUUCAGGUAUGUACACAUUUUUUGUUUUUGGCGUUUUGUUUUGAAACCGGGUUUUACCGGGUUUUAUCCAGUUUUGCGCGAGUUUUUCACCGGUUUUGAGUGGUUCGACCAGGCCCUUUCCGGUUCCGAGCAGAUCGACUCGGGUUUUCAUUUUUCACGGUUUUGGCUGUUUAACCGGACGGGAUUAGCUACGGGUGCAGUUGAACCGAUCGGACCGGCCGGUCCGAUCCGCUUACAACAUUGCUUUGUAUUGGUAAUAAUCUAUGUUUGGAAUAUUAGAAAGUCUUGGGCACAACAUUUCCAACGCAGCGGCAAGAGACAAGCUGGUUCUGUUUGUGUUGUAUGAGGACAAAGAAUGGACAUGUUCAUGAUUAACUCAUACAAACAUAGUAGGGUAUUCCGGAGUUCCAUCCCAUUUUGAAUUUUUUUUGGAGCUGAUCGAUUGAAAUUUCAAUGAAUUAGGGUUAGCUAAGUUUGACAUAGACAUCGAUGGUAUCUUUAAGGGACAUUGCGAGAGUGUUGGAUGGUUUAUCUCUGGUGGCUAAGGAGGGCAUCAGCCGCUUCAACAUCAUUCCAUUGGAAACCGCAAUCAAGGUUUGUCGUCCUCUCCGUCGGCGACGUUGCCGGACUCACUAAAGGAAAGCUCGGUCAGAUUGAUAAUGUUCACAGAGGUAUUGGCAACGACAUUGUCAUCUUCUUUAAGAAUCAUGUUCCCGCUCCCAAUUCUCAUACCCCAUCGACGCUUGGUGCAGAUGCAACUGUGCUUCUAAAUAUUUGGUCUUCCAUGGAUCCAGAUUCCCAAACUUCCGUGGAUGUUGAGAUAGUGGACUUUUGGAGUUUGGUCUUGGCCAAUUUAGCCCAAAUCACAAAUCAAAUGAAAAACCAGAAUUUAAUAGAAGAUCUAUAAUGAUGAAUAAUAACAUAUUAACUAACUAACUAAUAAAAACAAAUCUAAUCAAAUCUUCCGUAUAUAACGGAAAAAGCUCUCAAUACUCGAAUAAUUUAGGAAUCGAAUCAGGUUUGUGAUCUUUUGUAUUGGUAAUAAUCUGUGUUUGGAAUAUUAGAAAGUCUUGGGCACAACAUUGCCAACGCAGCGGCAAGACAUAAGCUGGUUCUGUUUGCAUUGUAUGAAGACAAAGAAUGGACACGUUACGUGAUUAAUUCAUACAAACAGAGUAGAGUAUUUCGGAGAUCCAUCCCAUUAGAAUAGAUGUGGGCUGAUUGAUUGAAUUUUUUGGGGUAGCUAUGUUUGACUCAGACAUCGAUGGUAUCUUUAAGGGACAUUGCGAGAGUGUUGGAUAGGUUAUCUCUGGUGGCUAAGGAGGGCAUCAGCCGCUCCAACACCUUUCCAUUAGAAACCGCAAUCAAGGCCGUCGUCCUCCCCAUCUCCGACGUUGCCGGUGUCACCAAAGGAAAGCUCCGUUAGAUUGAUAAUGUUCACAGAGAUACUGUCACCGACAAGGUCAUUUUCUUUAAGGAUCAUGUUUGACAUAUACAUCGAUAGUAUAAUAAAUUAUAUUUCUAGUUGCAAAAAAACCUCUUAUUGCGGCCAACUCAUAAACCAUCUAUCCCUUCCAUUCUUUUAAGCGGCGGCUCCAUCUCAGCGAGGCAGCUCCCUGCAACUAUUUUUUUUUCUUCCACUCUUCUUUCAUAACUCAUCCGCCACAACAAAAUAUUAUUAUAAUUGUCACAAAACUUGCACAUCUCUCAAACCUCAUUCCAUAAAUCAAAUUCAGGUAUGUACACAUUUUUUUUGUUUUUGGCCUUUUGUUUUGAAACCGGGUUUGACCGGGUUUUUGCCGGUUUUGCGCGAGUUUUUCACCGGUUUUGAGUAGUUCGACCGGACCCUUUCUAGUUUCGAGCAGAUCAACUCCGGUUUUCAUUUUUCACGGUUUUGGGUGUUGAACCGGACUGGAUCAACUAGGGGUGCAGUUGAACUGAUCGGACCGGCCGGUCCGAUCCACUUACAACAUUGCUUUGUAUUUGUAAUAAUCUGUGUUUGGAAUAUUAGAAAGUCUUGGGCACAACAUUGCCAACGCAAUGGCAAGAGACAAGCUGGUUCCGUUUGUAUUGUAUGAGGACAAAUAAUGGACGCGUUACAUGAUUAACUCAUACAAACAGAGUAGGGUAUUCAGAGUUCCAUCCCAUUUUGAAUUUUUUAAGGGGCUAAUCGAUUGAAAUUUCAAUGAAUUAGGGUUAGCUAAGUUUGACACAGACAUCGAUGGUAUCUUUAAGGGACAUUGCGAGAGUGUUGUAUGGGUUAUUUCUAGUGGCUAAGGAGGGCAUCAGCCGCUCCAACAUCAUUCCAUUGGAAACCGCAAUCAAGGUCGUCGUCCUCUCCGUCGCCGACAUUGCCGGACUCACCAAAGGAAAGCUCCAUCAGAUUGACAAUGUUUACAGAGAUAUUGGCAACGACACUGUAAUCUUCUUUACGGAUCAUGUUCCAGCUCCCAAUUCUCAUCCCCCAGGGAUGCCUGGUGCAGAUGCAACUGUGCUUCUAAAUAUUUCUUCUUCCAUGGAUUCAAAUUCCCAAACUUUCGUGGAUGUAUAUCCCCCACCUGAUGCUUCCUCGACCUCGAAUGCCACUAUAGUUGACGGUACUGUCAUUCCUGAAACUUCCGUGGAUGUAUGUCCUCAGUCUGCUGCUCCAUCGACCUCAAAUACUACUGCAGUGAACGGUGUUGUCACUCCCUUGAAGCAGAGGAGGCUCAGGGAAAGGAAAGUCCCUUCUACUCCUUUCACCAGAGCCAUGGGGUAAGUGAAUCCAUACUUCUACUCACUGCUAUUAGUGUAUAUUAUCAACUGGUAUGUUUAUGCAAUUCUGUUUCAAAAAAUACACUUAAUUACUUCAAUAAAUAUGGUGAGAAUAUAUGAUUCAUGAUAGUCUCAAUGAAUUAUAGUUGUUGUAACUUAUUCACUUAGUAUCUGAUAUGUUGUUGUUAUAGGGCACAAUGUAAUGGAUUUAUGUUUGACUAGUGUUUGAAGAAAAAAAAACGAGUGAUGUCAAAAUACGAAGCUUAUUUUAUUUGUCAAAUGAAUAUCAAUCUUUCAAUGUAGUUUCCGUAGGUGCCUUUUUUCGAAAAUUACAUAUUUCACCCCAAAAUCUCAAGAUAUAUACAUGCAAGAUCACUAGAAGUUCGAAAAUCAAUUUUUUUCUUGCAAAACCUUUUUAAAUCCGAAAUUUUUGUUCAAUAAAUGCUGAAAACAGAUUUAAAAACACAAUUAUGACCGACUUCUUGAAAAUUAAAGAUUUGCCUCAAAAAAAUUUCGAUCCACAGAUGCAACACCAUAAAAGUUCAAAAUUCAUUUUUCUUGUAACCCUUUUUUGAAAUCCAAAAUUUUCAAUGCUUUUGGCCAAUAAAACUUGUAUCUACCCACUAUCAACACAAAUGAUGCAUGCAAGAACAAUAAAUCAACACUCAACACGUCUUUUCCAUUUUCCCCCAAAAAGCCCUAACUCUUUCGAAAUCAUUCCAAAUCUUAUAAGAAAUUUUGAAAACUCUUUUUAUACUAUUGAUACCUCCUAAUUGCAGCAAAAAAUCAGAAUUUCUUACCUGCAAAUCGAAGAAAAGAAAACAACCGAAGGAGGGAAUGCUUUCAAGCACCAAAAUCUAACCAAACCACUUUGAUUGUGAAUGAAAUGGUGUGAGCUUCUAAGAGGGAUGUAUUAUUAUCUCCCAUGAGUAGGGAAGAAGACUUUAUGGUGUUUUUGGUGUAUUCUAAAGCAAGGGUUAAAUACGGGACCUUCAUUUUUAUUUUUGAUUUUCUUGCAAAUUUGGAGUUUGAGGUGGAAGAAGGGGAGGCCGAUUGUGGAGGUGGUGGCUUCAGUGGAAAUGGGGAAAGAAGACAAGUAAGAUGAGUAUGUGGAAGAAGAAUGAGAAAUAAGGGUGUCUUUUGGGAUUUCUUUGAGUGUGAGAUUAAUGAAAUGAUUAGUGUGUGCCAAGUGGAAAGACAUGCAAAUUAUCACUAAUUUAUUUAUUUAAAAUAAACCCAACUUGCACACUACACACACAAUCCGGACAUAUAUAUAUAUAUAUAUAUAUAUAUAUAUAUAUAUAAUCACACUCUAGUACUAUAUCUAUAAUUCACAUAAGUUAUCAAAUUUCAAAAAUAAUCUACCAAAUAAUUAAGAUAUGCAAUUAUUCACAUAAGUCACGUAAUUCAUGAAAUUCCUAGAAUUUCAAUUUACGGAAAUGACACUAAAUCACAUAAAUCACACAUAUAUAUCUUCUAGUGGAUUUCACAAAAUGAAUAUCAUGUAAUCACCACAUUCCAAAUAAUUACAUAACGCAUGUAAUUAUUCACGUAAGUCACGCAAUUGGAUUCAUGUCACUAAUUAAUAUCACGUAAUAAUAUUGCCUAUGGAUUCUCGAGUUAGGAAUAUUAGUUUCAGGUUUUAGGGUUUUGGAAAGGUGGGGUAUUACAAUUAUUUCUUCUAUCUGGUCUUAUUUAGUGCAUGAAUCUAGCUAAUUUAUGUUGUUAUGUGUUAUUAUUAGAAUUGACCGACAUAUCGUUUUAAUAAUUAGAACAUGGGUAGAAGAGCCUUCGAGUAGUUUUCACCGGAUGAGUGUGUCAAUUGCAUGUGGUAUCGUAGACAUACAUAUAUCACCUUAGGUAGCCGUUUACGAGACUUGUUAGUUAAUGUUUUAUUCAUAUUUGGUUUGCAUAGACAUAUAGUGAACCGUUUAUGACUAAUAGACUCAUAAUACUCGCGACAGUGGGUUAUGAGUAAUUUAGUGUCUCGGGUUAGUAAUCAUGAAUCUUAACUUGCAUAAUAGAUGUUUAAUUGGGUGAUGAAUUAUCUCAUAGGGGAAGAUAAAAUCCUAAUUUGUUUUUAUUGAUAUUCUUUUGCGUUUAUUAGCUUUCAUAAUUAGUCUAAUUAUUUAGUUGAUUAAAUUGAACAACCUUGCGUAGGCUAGAUAAAAAUCAUAGUUGUUAGAAUUCGGUACUUAGGAUUAGGUAAUUUGAGUAUGUAUUCCCUGUGGGAUAGACAUCCGACUCUCACGAGUCCACUUUUACUACUUUUUUGCGAUACGUGCAAUUGCGUGUUAGAUAUUUAGCCCAACACUAUGUUCAUUAGGUAAUUGUUUGGACAUCCUGAACUCUAUCAUAAUUAUUCAUAGUACCGUCUUUUUUGGGAUAAUUUUGUUGUGGGGUUAUUUUGCUAUUGUAUUAAAUAGUAGGGGGUUGUUUACAAAUUUCCCACAUAAAUAUUUGCUUGCUCUCAAUUUUGAACAUUUUAUAUGUCGAUUCUUAAUUCCUAAACCUAGGGGGGAAAUCGGAACGAAAUUUCCGAUUUCCGCCGAUUCCGAGCCAAAAAAUUUUCGAUUUUGGAACAAUUUUCUCAAUUACGAAUUCCGAAAAUCCGAUUUCCGAAAUUUCCGAAAAAAAUCGGAUCGGGAUCGGACUUUGAUAUAGAAUUGCCGGAAUUUCCGAAUUCCAAUCCGAAAUUAUUCCAAAAAUUUCUGGUUUUUUUCCAAUUUGUUUUUUAAUAUAUUUAAAAAUUGUUAUAUAUGUGUCUUCAUGCUAAAACCAAUAAAUGCUUUGGGCUGGUAUGCAGAAUUAUUUGUUUGAAGAAUAUAAAAAAUGUGAUCCAUAUAUUAUUGGCCCAUUUAUAAAUUACAACUAGCCCCUUUUCAUCGUCUUUGUUUCUUUACUUUUCCUCACAAUGAAUCCUAUUUUUUUUUUUUUUUUUUUUACCGCACUAGUUAAAAAUUGAAGAGCCUUUGAUGGUUUUGGAGGCUUUAGAUGAAAGUAAAUUUUGUUCUCCAAUUUCUUUGUCUAUGAAUCCUUUUUCUACAUUCUUUUUUGCUUUUGUUGGUUGAAACAUCAUUGCUUCCGAUUCUUUUAUAGCCAAAAACCUCUGAUUGCAGAAUUCUUUUAUACUUACUUGUUCAUCCAUUCCAUUUUUUUCUUUGUUUUCCGCUGCAGUUCAAUUUCUUUACAUCUUAAUUUUUUCUUCAAUUUCUUACAGAUUUUCGGAAAAAAAAUUCUAAAUUUACAUGAUAUUCGAUUUUUUCCGAAAUUCCGAAAUUUCCGAUUUUUUCGGAAUCGGAAUGAGUUUCUAAAUUCCGAUCCGAUCCGUCCGAUUUCCACCCCGUUAUCCUUGGGUCAUCUUCUCAACAGCAAAAUCCGAGCUUUCAUCACUCAAAAAGGUAUUUCAUUCUGCUGUUUUGACGACAAAAAAAAAAUACUUUAACUUUUGCGUGGGGUGUUUGAUUUGGCUUCUUUGAUUUCACAAAUUGAACUCCAUAACCUUCGUUUUGCAAUUUUGCCCAAUUUCCACUUCCUUCUAGGGUAAUAAUGUUUUCAUUUUGGUUUACGUGAUUGAGAAUAAUUAUAUCUGAGGAUUUUGCCGCUAAGUGAUUAGAUAGGGCUUCUUACAGGUUUAAUGGCGGUUGUAUCAUGUAGUCUGCUAUUUCUGGGGAUUUAAUCUCGUUGUAGAUUACCAUAUGCUAGAAACAGAAAAUCGUCGCAAAAUGUGUCACUGCCCACGAACACAAUCAAAUAUUUUGUAUGAUUAGAUUUAUUCUGAUUCUUUUAACUAUUUAACUUAAACGGAACGACGAUAGCACACAAAUUGUUUUUGGCCUAAUCGAGAAAAUGUGCUGUUAGACUCUUCUCAUGUAUGCACUUGGUGAACUAGUAGAAAAUCAAACUAGAUAAAAGCAGGCUCCUAUUUUGAUAUCACAACGCAAUUGGAUCUGUGAUUACUAGUGUUUUUUUUUUUUUUUUUUUUUUGCUCAAGAAUUUCUAAUGCGAAAAUUUAAUUGGAUCUCAAUACAAGUUAUUAUUUUAGAUGGUAUCUUUAAGGGACACUGCGAGAGUGUUGGAUGGGUUAUCUCUGGUGGCUAAGGAGGGCAUCAGCCGCUCCAACACCGUUCCAUUGGAAACUGCAAUCAAGGCCGCCAUCCUCUCCGUCUCCGAUGUUGUCGGUCUCACCAAAGGAAAACUCCGUCAGAUUGAUAAUGAUGUUCACAGACAUACUGUCACCGACAGUGUCAUCUUCUUUAAGGAUCAUGUUCCCGCUUCCAAUUCUCAUCCUCCACCGACGCCUGGUGCAGAUGCAACUGUGCUUCUAAAUAUUGGUUCUUCCAUGGAUCCAGAAUCCCAAACUUCCGUGGAUGUAUAUCCCCCGCCUGGUGCUCUCUCGACCUCGAAUGCCACUAUAGUUGACGGUGCUGUCAUUCCCGAAACUUCCGUGGAUGUAUGUCUCCAGUCUGCUGCUCCAUCGAC